AGAGUUUCGAUCCUGGCUCGGGACGAACGCUGGCGGCGUGCUUAACACAUGCAAGUCGAACGAUGAAGCCUAGCUUGGCUAGGUGGAUUAGUGGCGAACGGGUGAGUAAUACGUGAGUAACCUACCUUUAACUCUGGGAUAAGCCUGGGAAACUGGGUCUAAUACCGGAUACGACCAAUCUCCGCAUGGGGUGUUGGUGGAAAGCGUUAUGUAGUGGUUAUAGAUGGGCUCACGGCCUAUCAGCUUGUUGGUGAGGUAACGGCUCACCAAGGCGACGACGGGGUAGCCGGCCUGAGAGGGUGACCGGCCACACUGGGACUGAGACACGGCCCAGACUCCUACGGGAAGCAGCAGUGGGGAAUAUUGCACAAUGGGCGCAAGCCUGAUGCAGCGACGCCGCGUGAGGGAUGACGGCCUUCGGGUUGUAAACCUCUGUUAGCAGGGAAGAAGAGAGAUUGACGGUACCUGCAGAGAAAGCGCCGGCUAACUACGUG
Molecule: ribosomal RNA, 494 nt
Filed under: uncultured Rothia sp.
Lineage: Bacteria; Bacillati; Actinomycetota; Actinomycetes; Micrococcales; Micrococcaceae
Description: bacterial SSU rRNA
Rfam family: Bacterial small subunit ribosomal RNA
Source: RNAcentral